RNAcentral lists this ribosomal RNA (297 nucleotides) under Skeletonema marinoi. RNAcentral's name for it is "partial Bacterial large subunit ribosomal RNA". It matches the Rfam family "Bacterial large subunit ribosomal RNA", at positions 2621 to 2912 of the family's 2925-position model. The record is from RNAcentral. Lineage: Eukaryota; Bacillariophyta; Thalassiosirophyceae; Thalassiosirales; Thalassiosiraceae.
GUGAGACAGUUCGGUCCCUAUCUGGUGUGGGCGUUGGAUGAUUGAGGGGAGCUGCUCCUAGUACGAGAGGACCGGAGUGGACGAACCGCUGGUGUUCGGGUUGUCAUGCCAAUGGCAUUGCCCGGUAGCUACGUUCGGAAUCGAUAACCGCUGAAAGCAUCUAAGCGGGAAGCGAGCCCCAAGAUGAGUCAUCCCUGACAGUUUAACUGUCCUAAAGGGUUGUUGAAGACUACGACGUAGAUAGGCAGGGUGUGGAAGCGUAGUGAUGCGUUGAGCUAACCUGUACUAAUUGCCCGU